AAAUAGUUACAUGCCGCAACUCUAAACCAACCUGCUUGGACAAGUUUCACUACAUGGCUAGAGCAGGCAUUAAAUAAUCCUUUGGUUGUUCCCCUACAAUUAGCACACUAGGGCAUGUUUAAGCACCCUCCUCUUCAUGAUGGUACCAUGGCCUGUGGGCCUUCUAUAAAUAUCCCCACCUACAUUCUGACAAAGGUGAUAAUUCUUUUUUCAUUUUAUUCUCUC
This 225-nucleotide long non-coding RNA is filed under the name Prunus persica (peach). Its description in RNAcentral is "long non-coding RNA (PPER_LNC002026)". The record is from RNAcentral. Lineage: Eukaryota; Viridiplantae; Streptophyta; Magnoliopsida; Rosales; Rosaceae.